CCUACGGGCGGCAGCAGUGGGGGAUAUUGGGCAAUGGGCGCAAGCCUGACCCAGCGACGCCGCGUGAAGGAAGAAGGCUUUCGGGUUGUAAACUUCUUUUCGCAGGGACGAAGCAAGUGACGGUACCUGAGGAAUAAGCCACGGCUAACGACGUGCCAGCAGCCGCGGUAAUACGUAGGCGGCAAGCGUUAUCCGGAUUUACUGGGUGUAAAGGGCGUGCAGGCGGUACUGCAAGUCAGAUGUGAAAGCCACGGGCUCAACCUGUGGCCUGCAUUUGAAACUGUAGUUCUUGAGUACUGGAGAGGCAGACGGAAUUCCUAGUGUAGCGGUGAAAUGCGUAGAUAUUAGGAGGAACACCAGUGGCGAAGGCGGUCUGCUGGACAGCAACUGACGCUGAGGCGCGAAAGCGUGGGGAGCAAACAGGAUUAGAUACCCUUGUAGUC
This 443-nucleotide ribosomal RNA is filed under the name uncultured bacterium. RNAcentral's name for it is "partial 16S ribosomal RNA". It matches the Rfam family "Bacterial small subunit ribosomal RNA", at positions 338 to 795 of the family's 1533-position model. The record is from RNAcentral.